ACGGGUGAGUAAUACAUCGGAACGUAUCCUGGAGUGGGGGAUAGCCCGGCGAAAGCCGGAUUAAUACCGCAUACGCUCUGAGGAGGAAAGCGGGGGACCUUCGGGCCUCGCGCUCAAGGGGCGGCCGAUGGCGGAUUAGGUAGUUGGUGGGGUAAAGGCCUACCAAGCCGACGAUCCGUAGCUGGUCUGAGAGGACGACCAGCCACACUGGGACUGAGACACGGCCCAGACUCCUACGGGAGGCAGCAGUGGGGAAUUUUGGACAAUGGGGGCAACCCUGAUCCAGCAAUGCCGCGUGUGUGAAGAAGGCCUUCGGGUUGUAAAGCACUUUUGUCCGGAAAGAAAUCAUCGGGGCCAAUACCCCUGGUGGAUGACGGUACCGGAAGAAUAAGCACCGGCUAGCUACGUGCCAGCAGCCGCGGUAAUACGUAGGGUGCGAGCGUUAAUCGGAAUUACUGGGCGUAAAGCGUGCGCAGGCGGUGCUGUAAGACCGAUGUGAAAUCCCCGGGCUUAACCUGGGAACUGCAUUGGUGACUGCAGCGCUGGAGUAUGGCAGAGGGGGGUGGAAUUCCACGU
RNAcentral lists this ribosomal RNA (576 nucleotides) under uncultured bacterium. RNAcentral's name for it is "bacterial SSU rRNA". It matches the Rfam family "Bacterial small subunit ribosomal RNA", at positions 102 to 674 of the family's 1533-position model. The record is from RNAcentral.